Vitis vinifera (wine grape) is the source of this 1883-nucleotide long non-coding RNA. RefSeq lists it as uncharacterized. The record is from RefSeq and is a predicted model, not a curated record. NCBI's taxonomy places the organism in Eukaryota, Viridiplantae, Streptophyta, Magnoliopsida, Vitales, Vitaceae. The transcript is spliced from 2 exons.
CCCAGAUCCAAGACUCAAUUGGGCCAGGCCCAAGCUAAUCAAGCCACUUCUAUUGUGUUUGAGGACUUAGGAACCACAGAUAUGACGCUCAACAGUCUUUUCCCUAGUUAGUGCCAACAACUAAUCGCUCUUCUGAGUUCACAACUACAACGUAGCUCACCUGCCCUUGUGGAAUCGCAGCAACAGGAUGGUCCCUCAGUUUCUAGCUUCAGUGAAUGGAAACAGGCUAUGAGAGUUGAACUCCAUGCUCUUGAGGAGAAUGGUACUUGGUCCUUAACAACUUUACCCCCUGGCAAACGGGAUGUGGGAUGUAAAUGGGUGUACAAGCUCAAGUUUUGAGCUUAUGGGUCUCUUGAGCCGCAUAAAGCUCUCCUAGUUGCCAAAGGAUACACUCAACAAGAAGGUGUGGAUUACAUUGAUACUUUCUCACCUAUAGCAAAACCGGUAACUGUUAAACUUUUAUUGGCUUUAGCUGCUAUCUACGACUGGUGUCUUGUUCAAUUAGACGUCAAUAAUGCUUUCCUUCAAGGUGAUUUAACCGAAGAAGUUUACAUGAGCUUGCCUCAAGGGUAUCCACAUUAGAGGGAGACACUACCAUCUAACACUAUUUGCAUAUUACACAAAUCAAUCUAUGGCCUAAAGCAAGCUUCAAGGCAAUGGUUUGCUAAAUUUUCUGGUUUUUUAUUGGACAAAGGAUUUACCAAGCACAGUGGUGAGUCAUUCCUUGCAUUGUUGGUGUAUGUUGAUGACAUUGUCAUUACUGACAAUGAUUACAGAACUAUUGAAAAGCUGAAAACCUUCCUUGACAGUCAAUUUAAGCUAAAGGAUCUUGGACAACUCAAAUACUUCCUUGGUUUUAAAGUUGCUAGGUCAAGAAAGGGUAUCUCUGUUAACCAAAGACACUAUGCACUUCAAUUAUUAUCAUAUUUUGGUUUUUUAGGUUGCAAACCUGCAAGCAUGCCCAUGGAGGCUAACAUUAAUCUCUCACAAGAUGACGAAGAGUUAUUGGAGGAUCCCAGCUUGUAUAGACGUCUAAUUGGCAAGCUCUUAUAUCUUACAAUCACACGACCAAAUUUGGCUUACUCAGUGAAUCAUCUUAGUCAAUACUUGGCCAGCUCUACAAUACAUCAAGGGUACAAUAGGACAAGGUCUUUACUUUUCUACUACAUCAUCAGUUCAUCUUAAGGCUUUUGCUGAUUCGGAUUAGGGAGCCUGGAAAGAUAUGAGGAGAUCCAUUAGUGGUUUUUGUGUCUUCCUUGGGGACUCCUUAAUCUCAUGGAAAUCUAAGAAACAGAGUGAUGUUUCUCGAUCUUCAGCUGAGGCAGAAUACCAAGCAAUGGCCAACGUGACUUGUGAGCCGAUUUGGUUGACUGCUCUUCUUCAUGAUUUUGGUAUUCAAAGCAAAGAACCUGCUACACUAUUUUGUAACAAUGAAGUGGCUAUUCAUAUUGCGGCCAAUCCUGUUUUCCACAAAAGGAUGAAGCACAUUGAAAUUGAUUGUCACCUUGUCCGAGAGAAGAUACAAGCAGUUUGUCUCAAAACAAUGCAUGUGUCCUCACAGCACCAGAUUGUCGACCUCUUCACUAAAGCUUUAUUUCCAGCACAGUUCAAAUAUCUCCUCAACAAGAUGGGAAUUCAUAAUCUUCAUUCUCCAUCUUGAGGGGGAGUAUUAGAGCUUUGGCAUUUCUGUAAUAAGGGCAAGUAGUACCCUUGAUUAUUACCCUUUGGUUGUUAUUACCCUUUCUUUGUUUUUUUUUUCUUUUUCUAAGCUGAGAGUUGGUUACGGUUUGUUACUCCGGCUCCCAUAUAAACUAGCCUUUUGGCUUUAUUCUAUUGAGAGGUUGAGAAUCAAAGAAUCAAUGCAUUCACUCUGUUUUCUCUCC